RNAcentral lists this ribosomal RNA (503 nucleotides) under uncultured bacterium. Its description in RNAcentral is "partial 16S ribosomal RNA". It matches the Rfam family "Bacterial small subunit ribosomal RNA", at positions 30 to 523 of the family's 1533-position model. The record is from RNAcentral.
AUUGAACGCUGGCGGCAGGCUUAACACAUGCAAGUCGAGCGGGGUGAUGGUGCUUGCACUAUCACUUAGCGGCGGACGGGUGAGUAAUGCUUAGGAAUCUGCCUAUUAGUGGGGGACAACAUCUCGAAAGGGAUGCUAAUACCGCAUACGUCCUACGGGAGAAAGCAGGGGAUCACUUGUGACCUUGCGCUAAUAGAUGAGCCUAAGUCGGAGUAGCUAGUUGUGGGGGUAAAGGCCUACCAAGGCGACGAUCUGUAGCGGGUCUGAGAGGAUGAUCCGCCACACUGGGACUGGGACACGGCCCAGACUCCUACGGGAGGCAGCAGUGGGGAAUAUUGGACAAUGGGGGGAACCCUGAUCCAGCCAUGCCGCGGGUGUGAAGAAGGCCUUAUGGUUGUAAAGCACUUUAAGCGAGGAGGAGGCUCUUUUGGUUAAUACCCAAGAUGAGUGGACGUUACUCGCAGAAUAAGCACCGGCUAACUACGUGCCAGCAGCCGCCGUAA